UCACCGUCUCAAGCCUGGCUUGUUGUUGGGCCCUUUGUCACUUGGUGACAGGUCCGAAAAACAAUGAACGGUGUCAUACCGACUCUACAUGCAACGAGCUUAUGACAGCACGCAUCUGGUAGUUAUAUGACCCGGUUCUUGCCCCUUUAUUUCUCCA
Molecule: unclassified non-coding RNA, 157 nt
Filed under: uncultured Chaetothyriales
Lineage: Eukaryota; Fungi; Ascomycota; Eurotiomycetes; Chaetothyriales
Description: sequence contains ITS2
Source: RNAcentral